UCCACCUCCCACCCCAUCGCCGCCGCAGGCUUUGACUCCAUCGCCUCUCCCUCCUCUUCGUCUCCGGCCGGCCAGGUACUCCUCCCCGCCGCCCGCCGGCCGUUCCCGCGCCGGUGGUUACCUCCUCUCGCUCGUACGCCGUCGCAUUUGUAGGUCGAUCUGGUCGGUUUCGUUUCUUAGCCUGUCGCGUGAGCUGAUUACCUAGAUGGCUAGAUCUGCUCGGUUAGCCCGUUCGCCUUGAUUUCGAGCCUGUCGCAUGAACUUUGUGUUAGUCUCCGAGGCUCUGGAUCUCUUGAAGUUUGCAUGCUAAUCACCGUCUUGUUAUAGUUGGUAACUUGAUGCGAUCUGUGUGUCUCUUGUUCUAAACUAGACCUGCUGUAGAGCGAUUAGUUUAUUUGCAACCCUUGGGCUAGUUAGAUGAGGAUCUCGUGAUAUUUAAUCCUGCAGCUCCAGUUUGUAUUAUCCUAGUUUAGAUGUGUAUUGUUUGGACUGGUCUUUGUUAGCAAAUUGGAGAUGCAAAAGUGCCCAUAGUCUAAUGGUAAAGACUGAAGGCCUCCUUGCGGGGCCUUCUCAUAUAGGUUCGAUUCCUAUUGGGUGCUUCUGCAGACGAUCCCCUGCAUCUCCAAUUUGCUCUCAACCUGAAUUGCCUUGUUAAGUAGUUGCCUUGCCUGCUAAUCUUGUCCCAUCGGAUUAGAACAUGCUUGGCUACUUGACAAGGUAUUCUGGUCUAUGUUUAUCUUAAUCUUCUGUUAAGAAUCGUUUGGAUUAGUUUUGCAUGCCUUAUGUGAUGAAUUUGAAUAAUUGUAGUGGUGCUAUCACUGAAUUUAACUGUUUUCACUGGCACUGUUUGUGUCUGUUGGUGGUUUGUUGCUGUAUUAUUAGUUCAAUUCUAUUUGUUAUGUAGUUUCAAGUCUAGUUCUGAUUGCCUGUCAAGUAUUGCCUGAUAAUUUAUAUAUUUGUCAACGAUUGUAUGUUUUCAUAGUAUUGUUUCAAAUUAUCACUGUCAUUGAAUUGCUACCAUUUGAAUAAGAAACAACUUCUCGAACUCAUAUCACCAUCCCUAAUUGUCUAUGCAGGUAGUUAACAGCUCCAGCAGCCAUGGGGAAGGAGAAGAUCCACAUCAGCAUUGUGGUCAUUGGCCAUGUCGACUCUGGCAAGUCAACCACGACCGGCCACCUCAUCUACAAGCUUGGAGGCAUUGACAAGCGUGUGAUCGAGAGGUUUGAGAAGGAAGC
Molecule: long non-coding RNA, 1235 nt
Filed under: Triticum aestivum (bread wheat)
Lineage: Eukaryota; Viridiplantae; Streptophyta; Magnoliopsida; Poales; Poaceae
Description: long non-coding RNA (TAES_LNC023586)
Rfam family: tRNA (bases 522-599)
Source: RNAcentral